This 24-nucleotide non-coding RNA is filed under the name Arabidopsis thaliana (thale cress). The record is from RNAcentral. Lineage: Eukaryota; Viridiplantae; Streptophyta; Magnoliopsida; Brassicales; Brassicaceae.
AACCCGUGACAACGCGUCGGCCAC